UGAGGUGGAGCAAAACUCAAAAACUUAGUCUCAGUUCGGAUUGUAGGCUGAAACUCGCCUACAUGAAGCUGGAGUUGCUAGUAAUCGCGAAUCAGCAUGUCGCGGUGAAUACGUUCCCGGGCCUUGUACACACCGCCCGUCACACCAUGAGAGUUGGCAAUACCCAACGUACGUGAUCUAACCCGCAAGGGAGGAAGCGUCCUAAGGUAGGGUCAGCGAUUGGGGUGAAGUCGUAACAAGGUAGC
RNAcentral lists this ribosomal RNA (245 nucleotides) under uncultured bacterium. Its description in RNAcentral is "partial 16S ribosomal RNA". It matches the Rfam family "Bacterial small subunit ribosomal RNA", at positions 1258 to 1500 of the family's 1533-position model. The record is from RNAcentral.